GAUAGCCUUUCGAAAGAAAGAUUAAUACCCGAUGGUAUAACAUGACCUCCUGGUUUUGUUAUUAAAGAAUUUCGGUAGAGGAUGGGGAUGCGUUCCAUUAGGCAGUUGGCGGGGUAACGGCCCACCAAGCCUUCGAUGGAUAGGGGUUCUGAGAGGAAGGUCCCCCACAUUGGAACUGAGACACGGUCCAAACUCCUACGGGAGGCAGCAGUGAGGAAUAUUGGUCAAUGGGCGAGAGCCUGAACCAGCCAAGUAGCGUGAAGGAUGACCGCCCUAUGGGUUGUAAACUUCUUUUAUAUGGGAAUAAAGUUUGCCACGUGUGGCAUUUUGUAUGUACCAUAUGAAUAAGGAUCGGCUAACUCCGUGCCAGCAGCCGCGGUAAUACGGAGGAUCCGAGCGUUAUCCGGAUUUAUUGGGUUUAAAGGGAGCGUAGGUGGACAUGUAAGUCAGUUGUGAAAGUUUGCGGUUCAACCGUAAAAUUGCAGUUGAUACUGCGUGUCUUGAGUACAGUAGAGGUGGGCGGAAUUCGUGGCGUAGCGGUGAAUGCUUAGAUAUCACGAAGACUCCGAUUGCGAAGGCAGCUCACUGGACUGCAAC
RNAcentral lists this ribosomal RNA (597 nucleotides) under uncultured Bacteroidales bacterium. Its description in RNAcentral is "bacterial SSU rRNA". It matches the Rfam family "Bacterial small subunit ribosomal RNA", at positions 142 to 740 of the family's 1533-position model. The record is from RNAcentral. Lineage: Bacteria; Pseudomonadati; Bacteroidota; Bacteroidia; Bacteroidales.